RNAcentral lists this ribosomal RNA (253 nucleotides) under uncultured bacterium. Its description in RNAcentral is "partial 16S ribosomal RNA". It matches the Rfam family "Bacterial small subunit ribosomal RNA", at positions 524 to 776 of the family's 1533-position model. The record is from RNAcentral.
UACGUGAGGGGCGAACGUUGUUCGGUGUCACUGGGCUUAAAGGGUGCGUAGGUGGUUGCGUAAGUAACGUGUGAAAUCCCUCGGCUUACCCGGGGAAUUGCAUGUUAUACUGCGUGACUUGAGGGCUAAAGGGGAAAAGGGAACUCCAGGUGUAGCGGUGAAAUGCGCAGAUAUCUGGGGGAAGGCCGGCGGCGAAGGCGCUUUUCUGGUUAGUACCUGACACUGAGGCACGAAAGCGUGGGGAGCAAACAGG